RNAcentral lists this long non-coding RNA (1017 nucleotides) under Oncorhynchus mykiss (rainbow trout). RNAcentral describes it as "lncRNA (ENSOMYG00000068048.1)". Lineage: Eukaryota; Metazoa; Chordata; Actinopteri; Salmoniformes; Salmonidae. The record is from RNAcentral.
AUGCCUCUAUACUGUAGUACUGUGAUGCCUCUAUACUAUAGUACUGUUAUGCCUCACAGUAGGUUACAGUCUCACAACAGAGAUCACAGUAGGUUACAGUCUCAUAACAGAGAUCACAGUAGGUUACAGUCUCACAACAGAGAUCACAGUAGGUUACAGUCUCAUAACAGAGAUCACAGUAGGUCACAGUCUCACAACAGCGAUCACAUUAGGUUACAGUCUCACAACAGAGAUCACAGUAGGUUACAGUCUCACAACAACAGAGAUCACAGUAGGUUACAGUCUCAUAACAACAGAGAUCACAGUAGAUUACAGCCUCUUAACAACAGAGAUCACAGUAGGUCACAGUCUCAUAACAACAGAGAUCACAGUAGGUUACAGUCUCACAACAUAGAUCACAGUAGGUUACAGUCUCAUAACAGAGAUCACAGUAGGUUACAGUCUCAUAACAGAGAUCACAGUAGGUCACAAUCUCACAACAGAGAUCACAGUAGGUUACAGUCUCAUAACAGAGAUCACAGUAGGUUACAGUCUCAUAACAGAGAUCACAGUAGGUUACAGUCUCACAACAUAGAUCACAGUAGGUUACAGUCUCAUAACAGAGAUCACAGUAGGUCACAAUCUCACAACAGAGAUCACAGUAGGUUACAGUCUCACAGCAGAGAUCACAGUAGGUUACAGUCUCACAACAACAGAGAUCACAGUAGGUCACAGUCUCAUAACAACAUAGAUCACAGUAGGUUACAGUCUCACAACAUAGAUCACAGUAGGUUACAGUCUCACAACAACAGAGAUCACAGUAGGUUACAGUCUCACAACAUAGAUCACAGUAGAUUACAGCCUCUUAACAACAGAGAUCACAGUAGGUCACAGUCUCAUAACAACAGAGAUCACAGUAGAUUACAGUCUCACAACAUAGAUCACAGUAGAUUACAGUCAGAGGCAUUGAGAGUCAAGCAACUUAAUAGAGAAAUGGUGCUUACAGAAUUCUUUGUUGUUGACGCUAAGAGGAGAUGA